Molecule: long non-coding RNA, 1315 nt
Filed under: Capra hircus (goat)
Lineage: Eukaryota; Metazoa; Chordata; Mammalia; Artiodactyla; Bovidae
Description: lncRNA (ENSCHIG00010000705.1)
Source: RNAcentral
CGAGUCGGGGCCGAAGGCCGGCCCGCGCCAUCCGUCCCACCCCCACACGCCGGCUCCUCUCAGGCGUGUGCCCAACGGUGAAGGCCCCCGGCUGCUCCGCGCCCUCGGGGCCUAGAGUGCCACAGGGCGAGGACCGGGCCGCAGCCCCGCACCGCGUGGACGCGCUGCCUCUCCCGCAGCCGCCGCCACCGCCAGAGAGAGCAGCUGCGAACGACCCGAGGCUGCGCGGCGGAGGCCCCCAAGGCGGCUGGCGGCCGGGGAGGAAGGAGACGGAACUGACCUCUGCCCGCCUGAGGCGCGGCUGCUGCCGCGCGCCCGGGGCCGGCGCCGCCCCCGGGCUGAGGGAGGAAUGAGCAGGCGCCUGCCCCGGGCUCUCGGACCUNAGGGCCGCGGCUCGGCUGCUUCUUACGUCUCCGGGCUGCGGAGGCUCGGUGGCCGGGCCCGGGUGCGGCGGGGUCAGCGGCGGCCUCUCUUGGGGAGUCGGCGCCGGGGUUAACUUAACCGGCCGCCGAGAGGAGGAGGAGCCGGGCGGGGGCGGUCGACGCACCUCCCCUCCCCCAGCACACGCCGGGGCUUCUCAGAGGCCGCGGAGGAGGAAGUUCCGCUCUCUGACAGACCCGAGCGGUAGCAACAGCGGCCGCGGCUGGGAGGGCGCAGGUAUUUUGGACGCGAAUGCCCUUCGCGCCGACUGUCGAGGGGGCAGCGUCGGAGCCUGCCCUCGGAGCCGGGGGACAGGGUCCGGAGGCGCGGGCGUUGGAGCCCUCUUUCCUGCUUUUCACCCAGCGUCGCUCUUUUGGCUUCGCGCUGAGGCGGGAGACCCCUCCUCUCGGUUGGCCGACUUCGGAAGAGCCCCUUGUUUUUCAACCACUGAGAUUAAGAAAUUCUCCAAUCGAAGCAUCAGAGGAGCCCAAGUGAACCUUCUACAACUCUGGGAUCACGUCAGUCACCCUUUGGGGGCGGGAGACCACGCUGGAGCAUCUCCCUGAGGUGCAGGAAUGGAAGAGCCCACCUUGUAUCCUUUCUGCAGUGUUGCUUGGCCGAUCUACCCUUGGGAAUGAAGAGGAGACUUGUAAUCACCCGGUGAGGUACCGAAAGCCAGAUGGCAAAAGAAAAUAUCACAGGACUUAAACUAGUGAUCGUUUUGGGGCCACACGCGUUUCUGCAUGUAAUUGAAUGAGCGUGAAAGAGGUACCCUAUUGAAAAGCACAACAGUCCUUUAAGAGGAGAAAAAUUGAAUUUCCCCAUUUUUGCCAAGAUUCCGAAGACUGUUCAAUGUAUCGUACGUUUGAUAUAAGAUGAGAACUUUAUGAAAUAU